CACAAGGCUCUUCUCAGAGCUAACCAGAAAAAAAAAAUAUUAUAG
Cuculus canorus (common cuckoo) is the source of this 45-nucleotide non-coding RNA. The record is from Rfam. NCBI's taxonomy places the organism in Eukaryota, Metazoa, Chordata, Aves, Cuculiformes, Cuculidae.